Oncorhynchus mykiss (rainbow trout) is the source of this 625-nucleotide long non-coding RNA. RefSeq lists it as uncharacterized. NCBI's taxonomy places the organism in Eukaryota, Metazoa, Chordata, Actinopteri, Salmoniformes, Salmonidae. The record is from RefSeq and is a predicted model, not a curated record.
GAUUCUGAACUACAGGUGUUCCUGUGACCUGGCGGUUGUGGGAAUGCUGAGGGAGCGCACUUUGGGGAACAGCGUCACUCAGCUAUACACCAAGCUGUGUGAGGGACACAGCGAAGCCUGGAUGCGGCGGUCUAAACAGUACCGCUGCGAGUGCAAGCACUUCCUUGCCUCGUGCGCCAUCCGGCCACAGUUCCCACCACUACCAGAAAUGCCAGUGGUGCCCUCACACGUCUGGCUGCUGACCGUGUACAGCAUGGAUGUGCUUUUGUGGCUUGACAAGGUGACCAAGAAGCUCGCUGGUUACGCUUCGGACACGGGUGCUUGGGCCACAAAUUGUGGAGAAUGAACACAGGCAUGCCCUCAACUGUGUCCUCACUGCUGGUGAGGGCGAGGGCCUGCUAGCCACGGCGGCCGGCCUUAUGAAGCGGUACCGACUCGCUGGGAUACCAGCCCCCCUCCCCCCCAGCUCAUGUACGUGGACCGGGAGUGUUGCUCCAGCAGGUCCAAGACGGUUGCCAUGUUUGGGCUCCCGAGUGGCGCAGCAGUCAAAGGCACUGCAUCUCAGUGCUAGAGGUGUCAUAACAGACACCCUGGUUCGAAUCUAGGUUGUAUCACAACUGGCCUU